UAUUGGACAAUGGGCGCAAGCCUGAUCCAGCCAUACCGCGUGGGUGAAGAAGGCCUUCGGGUUGUAAAGCCCUUUUGUUGGGAAAGAAAAGCAGCCAGUUAAUACCUGGUUGUUCUGACGGUACCCAAAGAAUAAGCACCGGCUAACUUCGUGCCAGCAGCCGCGGUAAUACGAAGGGUGCAAGCGUUACUCGGAAUUACUGGGCGUAAAGCGUGCGUAGGUGGUUGUUUAAGUCUGUUGUGAAAGCCCUGGGCUCAACCUGGGAAUUGCAGUGGAUACUGGGCGACUAGAGUGUGGUAGAGGGUAGUGGAAUUCCUGGUGUAGCAGUGAAAUGCGUAGAGAUCAGGAGGAACAUCCAUGGCGAAGGCAGCUACCUGGACCAACGCUGACACUGAGGCACGAAAGCGUGGGGAGCAAACAGG
RNAcentral lists this ribosomal RNA (422 nucleotides) under uncultured bacterium. Its description in RNAcentral is "bacterial SSU rRNA". It matches the Rfam family "Bacterial small subunit ribosomal RNA", at positions 362 to 776 of the family's 1533-position model. The record is from RNAcentral.